RNAcentral lists this long non-coding RNA (4211 nucleotides) under Xyrichtys novacula (pearly razorfish). The record is from RNAcentral. Lineage: Eukaryota; Metazoa; Chordata; Actinopteri; Labriformes; Labridae.
CAUGGAGCCGUCAGGGAGAUGGCUAGAAAGCUGAUCCCACAUCCUUCCUCCCAGAAGGGCUUGGAAUUGGUGCAGUCAUGCUGUUGGGUGAGCUUUCGAGGACAUGAACGUCUGGCAAAGAAAAGACAUGAGUCUAUUUUACCAGUUUGUAAAAGAAGGAAUCCAUAUUUGACUGCUUUUGCAGAAUCUACACUGUGGACUUCCAGCCUCUUCUAUCUUGAGGCAAAAGUACUUUACAAGCAUGUCAUUUACUCCUUUCUGCUCUUACUCCUCUUAUCAGAAAUCGUGAUCAGAAACAGAAACUCUAGGGAGAGAUGAGAUGAGGAUUCAAGUCCUGGUCAAGGACACCUGGGCAGGAAGCUUACCCACAUGAGGAGAUUUAAUAUGACUCCUAUGGUCUCUUCACACACCCUGCUGUGGUCUUCUCAGCAUUAAUAUUUUAGUACACGAACACGUCAUAAAACAUUCCAACCAGAGGGCUAACUUUCGCCGAUAAUGACAGUGACCUGUAAAUGGAUUACAUCAGUGGCAAACCUAGGAGAUCGAGACCCAAACUGUGAAAUAAACCAGAUCAACACUGUGUCUGUGGAGAGGAAAAGUCAAGACAGAUUUUCAAAUCCUAAUUCAGUUUCAUUUUUGAUAUCUUCAGCAUCCCAGUAUUGGGUCUUUGCUCUCUAGUUUUCUUGCAUCAGGGGAGAGUUGUUAAUAUUCAGAGAUGCUGCAGGGUAUGACAGAGCCCCUGUAUAGUAAAUCUUGCAGCUGGACUGUAUUUUUUCUCUCUGCUUUCUGCAUUUCUCUCCUGACGUGCAGCUACAACUGUUCUCUGUAUCUAAUUACAGCUAUGCCCUGAUGUGUUGGGCGUGAGGUCUACUCUUAGCUGGGAAUUAAUUGUAGUCCGUCAGAUUUUGCAGUUCCACCCUCACCAUACAGCGGUCAGGUUAUUUCAUUGUCCUGUUACACUGAUAUCUUUUGAACAUUUAAAACCUAAAAGUCAGAGCUCUGGGUGACGAUUGAAGAGGGAAGAAAUGUUUGAUGUAUGAAUGAAAUCAAUAAACACACAGAAAGAGGCGAAUGGGAGAGAAAAAAACACCCCUUUAAGUACAGAAAGUAAAUUUUUAUUGAAGAAGCAAAUGUGACAUCUUCAGCCUCUGACCGAACUGUUUAUGUAUUUUUUCUGUCAGAUCACUUUAAUGUUUAAAUUCCUUAAAUUAUGUAACACAUUUUAUCACAUAUCUAUAUUUAAUAAGGGGGAAAGGUAGUUGGAUGCACAUCCCAUCUUAUAGCUUGCCCAGAGUCAGGAUAACAGAUUCAUAUGCACCCAGAAGUGUUAUGUCCAUGCACUGAAAAUUUCAUGGUUUAUUUGACAUGUUUAUCAUUUCAUGUGGCUUUAAAGGCUCGUCUCAUGGGAGCACAUGUGAAAGAGCUGCAGAGAGAGAGAAAAAAUACUGUUUGACUGAAGUGGACAGCUCCCUGACUUUUACCCACAGUUUCAAAUCUAUAGCUGAAGGUUUAGACAGUAUCAAUCAAUCAAUCAAACAUUAUUCUUUAAGCACUUUUUGUAUAUAGAAUGUAGCGCAGAGUGCUGUCCAUUCAAGCAGGAUAUUAAAAACAAUGAGAUAUAAUAAAUGAAAAUAUAAAUACCAAACCCCACUCACCCUACCAACCCCCAUUCAACACAUACAGCUCUCACAUGCUUACACACACAGAUGCAUACACAAAAGACCAGGUGAGGACUCUUCAACUUGCCACAGAUGACUGAGGAAACGCUAUCUUGAGUUAAAAGAAAUGAGGAAACACUGGAUCUAGGACUAAAACGAUAAAACCAUGAUAAAAUAUAAUAAAGGUGAUAAAGCGUUAAAAGUUAACUUAGUAAAACUGUCUUAAAAUCAAACAAUAAUUGAAAGUAAGUUAAAAAAGAGGUAAUAAAACAAAAAAUAGUCACUCUAGGACUAAAAUAGGGUAAAAUCACAUAAUUCAGAUUAAAAGAUUCAAACAAAAUUCAACUUAAAGACAGACUAAAAAGGUCUUGAGUUUACUUUUAAAAGUAGACUUCUGAUUUGUUUGUCGUACAUCUGUUGAAGGAAAAGAGCUUCUGUCUUAAUGACUGUCCACUGAAUAGUAUAGAAGUGCCAUGAACCUGGUGUUUUUCUAACUACAGGUAAAUGUAUAUGGAGAAGAUGAAUCAUUAUAAGUAAAAAAAAAUACAACCCAUGAGUAAAAGUUGACCCCCCUCUAUGCCCCGAACUCAUUUUAUUAAUAGUUUUGUGAUAAUAAAGCAACACAGAAUAGCUGACCUUGUGUUGUCACAGUUUCAACCCAGUUAUCUACUGAAACCUACUUAAAAUUGCUGUGAAAUAUGAUUAGCUGUGACAAUUGUAGUCCAUUGAUACAAAUUAAAUAUAAUCCAAUUAUGUGGUGAAACUUUUGGUUUCCUUUGAAGUGUGCAGUUUCCCACUUCCCUUAUUUAAUUAUCAAGCUGUGCAGAAAGAAGUCCCUGUUCCUCUUACCUCAUUCGGCAAAUUCUGAGACUCCAUGCAGAUGUUUUGGGCCACAGAGUUUCUGAGCCCCAGGGUAAAACUCAGUAUCUGAACAGUUUUCUCUUUGUGUUCCUUGAGUUGCAUUCAUGGACAGUUGCAUGGUUUUUAGCCUUGAUGGUUUUCUGUUUUUUGCUUCUUGGUUCACUCACAGUUGAGAUGAGAAAAGGGCACCUGGCUCCUGUCCAAAUCUUCCUACUUACAACAAAAGUGCGCUCCUUAGUGAAGAGCAAGCGGAAAAAAAAGGGAAAAACACAAAAUAAAAUAUAAUAACAUGCUUUUGAUAUUUUGCCCUGAACUGAUGUCAGUUCCUGUUAUAACUGUAUUUCUGCUCUUAUCAUUGACUGCUGCAGGAACAAAAUGUGGAGGAUGAAAAAUAGGAGGAUGUAUUGGAUUUGACUGGCAGAUACUGAGAAUCAAAGACUCUCUGAACUCUGUGACUUUCAAACAGGACACGUCAAAGCAGUGCCUUCAAACAGACCAAGGCUUUGGCCCACAUAAGCCCUUUCAAGCCAGACAUCUGACACAUGACAAGGGUCCCUGACUACACAAAGCCUAUUAUUUUAUUUACAGCACAGAGUUAAAGGGCAUUUACUGCAUUGUUGCAGAAUUUUAAAAUUUAUUGUCAUGUAGAUAUCAAUCCGCUUUGGUCGUGCAGACAUAAUGUGAACAGGAACUAUUCACGUCAUCAGUUCAAUAGCCUAAAUCAGGUGACUUCUGGGCCUCAUGAGGUUUGCAGCCCAGUAUAAGUGCAAUGACUAUCAACCCUAGAACACUAUCGCCGGGUGAUUUUCACCCGACCAAACAUGUGUACGUGAUUUUCAUUAUGUUGCGUUUGUCUGAGUAUCAUGGGUCCCUGGGUAGCUUCAGCAUUGCCUUUGACAUCUUUGAAGGCAUAUUUGUUUCCCUAAUCGGAAACCCACUUUUUCCUACAGGCACAUGUUCGGAUGAGUUUAUAGUGAUAGAGGGUAAUGUAGGGAAUAAAGUCAGUAAGAGUGGUCCGUGCAUUUGCAUGCUAUCUUUAUUUAGCACAGUGGUUAUGAAUAACUAUCACAAAGUAGUGAUUUUCAAGGGAAUUCAUAUGGUGAUAAGAAAUAUUUUAGAGAGCUGGUCAUUUUUACUCACUCAAAAUAUGCCAUAUUUUGGUUCUCUCUCCUGCAGCUGUUACUGUGCCAAGGACCCUGUGUAUAGACUGUAAAUAGAAUGGACGUCAUCUGCCUCCUCACUGGGUGAAGCCAUUCCGAGAACAGCACCCUCUGGUGACGGGCUGCAGUAUAGGUCAUAAAUCCCACCUCCGCCAGCAAAGCUUAUGGAGCUGUUGGACAAACUUUAGAGCUUUAUUUAGAAAUGGAAUAUACAUUUUUCUCCCCCCUGCUUGCGAUGUUGUUGACAUGUAGUUACAGUAAGACUGGUUUGUGCUCAAGUCCUCUUUUUUCUGUGAAGCUCCAUUUUUAAAAGUUAUUUGGGGGUUCAUGUUUUCUACGACUGACCCUUGAUACACCCUACAGGUGUACGAAAACUGCGUAGCUCAACUGGGGGCGACAGCCCACAUUUGGCUUAAGCAUGUGAUGAUGUUUCCAGCUUUUCUAGCCAAUCAGAGGCGAAGGAGGCGGGACUUUCCCCUACCGCCCAACAAAAAAAGGUAUCGCACCCGGGGGGUACGCUGUUUGAGCCGAG